CAGCUCGAGAUAGUUGACGCCUCAACGGAGGCUUAAAUUCUUGUAAUCUUUUACUUUCUUUCAGGCUUGUCAAGUCAUGUAAAGAUGAACUUUUUAUUUAAUGAAAUUUUUUUUUUACGUUUGAAGCCUUAUCUCAUCUUCUCUAAUUUUCUUGCACCUUCAUUUAUUUCUAUGGAGUCAAGCCAUUAUCAGUUUUGAGUAUGCUUGGCUAUUCACGAUAACGCUGAAUUGUUAUUGAAGAGCCUAGCUCGAUCUAUUGGGAUGCAAGUUGGGGUUCCUGAGGA
RNAcentral lists this long non-coding RNA (284 nucleotides) under Elaeis guineensis (African oil palm). RNAcentral's name for it is "long non-coding RNA (EGUI_LNC034168)". Lineage: Eukaryota; Viridiplantae; Streptophyta; Magnoliopsida; Arecales; Arecaceae. The record is from RNAcentral.